This 301-nucleotide ribosomal RNA is filed under the name uncultured bacterium. RNAcentral's name for it is "partial 16S ribosomal RNA". It matches the Rfam family "Bacterial small subunit ribosomal RNA", at positions 509 to 807 of the family's 1533-position model. The record is from RNAcentral.
CAGCAGCCACGGUAAUACGUAGGGUGCAAGCGUUAAUCGGAAUUACUGGGCGUAAAGCGUGCGCAGGCGGUUAUAUAAGUCAGAUGUGAAAUCCCCGGGCUCAACCUGGGAACUGCAUUUGAGACUGUAUGGCUAGAGUGUGUCAGAGGGGGGUAGAAUUCCACGUGUAGCAGUGAAAUGCGUAGAUAUGUGGAGGAAUACCGAUGGCGAAGGCAGCCCCCUGGGAUAACACUAACGCUCAUGCACGAAAGCGUGGGGAGCAAACAGGAUUAGAUACCCCCGUAGUCCCUGUCUCUUAUAC